Long non-coding RNA from Brassica napus (rape), 1693 nucleotides. RefSeq lists it as uncharacterized. The record is from RefSeq and is a predicted model, not a curated record. Lineage: Eukaryota; Viridiplantae; Streptophyta; Magnoliopsida; Brassicales; Brassicaceae. The transcript is spliced from 2 exons.
CAAUCAAGAUUUUGAAUAGCUUUUGUUGAAAAGGGCCAAUAUCGUAUGAACUGCUCAUCGAUGCUGCUGUCGACAUUGUUGAACAGAGCAACCGCCAGUUUCAUGUUCUGGUGAUUGGCGCCGAUGGGCAUGUAAAGUUUAAAGUUUUUAAAUAGAGAAAACAGAGUAUGAAUGCUUAAUGAGAAGGCCACAUUCUGAAUGUGAAGGGACUGAGAUGUUUCGAUAUGGCCUAGGGGGAACUCAGACAACAAGAGAAAGCAACUAUUUCUUAACGUAAGCUCAUAUGCCGAUUGUUUUAGUAAGUGUUGGAGACGGGCCAUGGGCAGACAUGAGGAAGAUGGGUGACCUUAUCCCUAAGCGUGUCGAUCUUUCAGGUAUCAUCUCAUCUCCAAUUUCAGUUCCAUUUGUAUCCUUUUUCGAUCUUGAUCUGCUCUCUGCAAAGUUUCUGAAUUUCACAGAGAUCAUGAGAGAGGGACCAUCAGAGUUAGCCAAAGAAAGGGAACUUUCUCUUACUGAUCUAAUUUGUGAUUCAGAUGAAGAAUGGAUCCGAGGAGGGUAAAGAUGUUUUCAUCAUUCACUUCCAACUAAAAAUUUAUUAACAGUUCAAUGAACACUUUCUGUUUUAUGUUGCAGGGCAGAUGAGGAUGUACGUCAUUUCUGUAUUUUUGUGUUUAACACACUAAAGAAUUUACAAGCAUAAAUUAUGUGUAAGACUUUGUAGACUUCCUACGAGAACAAAAUUAUUAACUUCUAUUGUUGUCAAGAAAUAUGAUAUUAUCAGUUAUUUAAUAAUGAUCAUUUUUGAGCCGGUGCUAACUUUCUGUGGAGUGAAAUUAAAAAAUCAGUGGACUGCCUUGGCUUGAAUGCUUAUUGAGGGGAUUAAUAUUUGUUUCUAAUGAAUCGAUAGUCUCUGGAGCACAUGAAUUUUCUAAGCAUAGUGAUGGAGUUGGGAAUGAGCUGUAGCACCCGGUGUCUCAGUAUCUGCGAGAUAUCAGCAUGCAGCGGUAUGAAAACUUCUUCUUCUUUGGUUCUCUUAUCUCCAUCAGAAUAGUUAAAUUGUUUGAUGGAUUAUUUAGUUCUUUGUAAAUGGAAAACUUCAUGUGUCCGGCGACAAGAAGCAAUAUAAAUUUGCCAGCUGAUGUUUGACAAAAGAUGGCAUCACAACAACAUAAUUACAAAUUGUUGAUACUUUAGGGUGUUACUUGAUGACCUAUUAGUGGCUGAGGAUCUUGCCUCUGUAGAGACAACCUAUGAUGCUUCUCAUGCUGUUCGCUAUGAAGACGCUUUGUCCUGAACCUUUCAGAAACUUAAGAAACACAGGCAGGUGAAAUUUUGAUAGGUGUUGCAGUACCGUGAGGAUCCUGUCAAAGCUUUCGCCAUGCGAAACCAAUGGUCAUGAAAGUGGGAGUUGAAGUCGUCUUCAAGCUGGGUCUGUUUCCGCAGACACAGCAUCAGGACAGUUUAGCGGAAUCAUUUGUGAAUCCCACACUGGCAAAGCUUUUUACGAGACUUAUUAUAACUCGUGAUGUCUUAACUCUUGAAGAGCCGGCAUGCUUUGACCACGAACAUAUGUUUUUUCAUUGGGGUGUUCACACUACGUCUUAAUGUAUACUCCAUAAGUCCCUAAAACAAUUACUUCGAACCUAAUUUUUGAUUAUACGAAACAAAAAUAAUGAUAUUUUAAAAAGCUGUU